Molecule: ribosomal RNA, 253 nt
Filed under: uncultured bacterium
Lineage: Bacteria
Description: partial 16S ribosomal RNA
Rfam family: Bacterial small subunit ribosomal RNA
Source: RNAcentral
UACAGAGGGUGCAAGCGUUAAUCGGAAUGAUUGGGCGUAAAGCGUCUGUAGGUGGCUUUUUAAGUUCGCCGUCAAAUCCCAGGGCUCAACCCUGGACAGGUGGUGGAAACUACCAAGCUAGAGUACGGUAGGGGCAGAGGGAAUUUCCGGUGGAGCGAUGAAAUGCGUAGAGAUCGGAAGGAACACCCAAGGCGAAAGCACUCUGCUGGGCCGACACUGACACUGAGAGACGAAAGCUAGGGGAGCAAAUGGG